UGCUAGCCCUCGGUCAUUGUCACAUGCAUACUUGUGAACACACUCACAUUAGAGGCGAUGAGGAUACGCUAAGCACCAGUGCAUGUAAAUUUUGCAUGUUUGGAGGUGAUUGAUGCUUUACUGACCGCAUCUCUUGACCAUGUUGAUCUCUCAGUUAUGUAAAUGGCCUAACAGCUUGGAUGGCCAGUUACCUAGCUGGUAACCGCUGCAACCUUUACGUACCUGAGAGCCAAUGCAUUGGUUGAGCUAUGGUGAUUGGUUGGAAUCAGGUGACUUGCAGAAGGCGAAUCUGAGCCUUGUUUUAUUUUUGUUGCAAGUAUGUGACUUAUAUUUUUCCGAAAGAAGCACUAGUUUUCUUGUUUAUUUCAAAAUAUGUUGGCAAGCUUUAAUAGUGGACAUUGUUUGACGCAUGAAAUUACAUAUCAAUUUUGAUUCCGUCCGCUCAUUACAUUUUCAUACAUCUUUGAAAACAUGAAAUUACAUAAUAUCCUCAUAAAAUUUCAUGUCUCUAAAAAAUCAUGCACAUUGUGUUGGAGAAGAGUGUUAUGAUCAGCUGUGAUGAUUUAAUAUCAAAGAGGGUUAGAUUUAAAUCGCGGGGCAGCUAAGGUGAGGGGUGACUCUCCAUGCCAUUUUUGCAGCCAUCGCUAAUACUUGUUUCAGUAGUAUGUUUGAUUCAAGGUCAGACAUGAGCUUUAUGCUUGAAGUUGUUGUUGUUGUUGUUGUUAUUGUUGUUUCUGUGGCUGCCGCGGCCCGCCAGUCUACUUUGCUAUCUGUGAUCUCUAUGGCAGAAGUUAGUGAGUGUCUUUACUGUUCAAGUUACAGAAGGGAACAGUUUCCUUCUCUUAUCCUUUAUAUGUCCAGAUUCUGGCCAGUGGUCUUCUUGCACAUGGAUUAUAUUCAUGCAUGUGUGUGCACAUGCGGGUGUGAUGGUUUUUUUUAUGCAUUUUGGUGCUUUGCCACUUUAAAGUUGUUAUGUGGUUUCUUUUUCAGGUCAAAGGGAUCUGUGGCUUAGAUGAAAGCUGUUGUUUUGGUAAAUGAGACAACAUCGAGCCUUGUUCACAAUAUGUGAAAUUUGAUUGCAGUUGGAGGUGGGAUCAAUCAAAGUGAUCAUAUUUGUAAACAGUAAAAUGAAGACUUGCCCAAAUUUGUGAUGACAGCAGCUAUAGCUGACCAGGAGCUUACUUAGUACAGGUUUUGGCUGUGGUUUCAACACAUGAGAGAACAUUCAGUUAAGCCUGAAGAAAUUCUCAAGCUUGUUAACACUCUUGUACAUCAAUUGUUUUCUCUUGUUUAUUUGAUUUGUUGCACAUACUUGCUGAUAAAAUAUCCAUUGAGUCAAUAAUUUAAUAAAAAUGCUGGCCAUAUCCACUAUUUACUAUA
Long non-coding RNA from Dioscorea cayenensis subsp. rotundata (Guinea yam), 1380 nucleotides. RefSeq lists it as uncharacterized. The transcript has 3 exons. Lineage: Eukaryota; Viridiplantae; Streptophyta; Magnoliopsida; Dioscoreales; Dioscoreaceae. The record is from RefSeq and is a predicted model, not a curated record.